This 55-nucleotide transfer RNA is filed under the name Ardeacarus ardeae. Its description in RNAcentral is "tRNA-Gly". Lineage: Eukaryota; Metazoa; Arthropoda; Arachnida; Sarcoptiformes; Pterolichidae. The record is from RNAcentral.
AACUUUUUAUUAUAUUUAAGUAUUUUUAAUUUCCAAUUAAAAGGUUUAAAAGUUA